UUGUUGGUAAGGUAAAAGCUUACCAAGGCUUCGAUCAGUAGCUGGUCUGAGAGGACGACCAGCCACACUGGGACUGAGACACGGCCCAGACUCCUACGGGAGGCAGCAGUGGGGAAUUUUGGACAAUGGGGGCAACCCUGAUCCAGCCAUGCCGCGUGAGUGAAGAAGGCCUUCGGGUUGUAAAGCUCUUUCAGCCGGAACGAAACGGUUACGGAUAACACCCGUGACUACUGACGGUACCGGAAGAAGAAGCACCGGCUAACUACGUGCCAGCAGCCGCGGUAAUACGUAGGGUGCGAGCGUUAAUCGGAAUUACUGGGCGUAAAGCGUGCGCAGGUGGUUUUGUAAGUCAGAUGUGAAAGCCCCGGGCUCAACCUGGGAACUGCGUUUGAAACUACAAGACUAGAGUGUGGCAGAGGGGGGUGGAAUUCCGCGUGUAGCAGUGAAAUGCGUAGAGAUGUGGAGGAACACCGAUGGCGAAGGCAGCCCCCUGGGUCAACACUGACGCCCAGGCACGAAAGCAUGGGGAGCAAACAGGAUUAGAUACCCUGGUAGUCCAUGCCCUAAACGAUGUCAACUAGUUGUCGGGCCUUUACGGGCUUGGUAACGUAGCUACGCGUGAAGUUGACCGCCUGGGGAGUACGAUCGCAAGAUUAAAACUCAAAUGAAUUGACGGGGACCCGCACAAGCGGUGGAUUAUGUGGAUUAAUUCGAUGCAACGCGAAAAACCUUACCUACCCUUGACAUGUAUCGAAGCCCGCAGAAAAGCGGGGGUGCCCGAAAGGGAACGAUAACACAGGUGCUGCAUGGCUGUCGUCAGCUCGUGUCGUGAGAUGUUGGGUUAAGUCCCGCAACGAGCGCAACCCUUGUCAUUAAUUGCCAUCAUUUAGUUGGGCACUUUAAUGAGACUGCCGG
RNAcentral lists this ribosomal RNA (915 nucleotides) under uncultured bacterium. Its description in RNAcentral is "bacterial SSU rRNA". It matches the Rfam family "Bacterial small subunit ribosomal RNA", at positions 246 to 1155 of the family's 1533-position model. The record is from RNAcentral.